Molecule: non-coding RNA, 1471 nt
Organism: Leptonychotes weddellii (Weddell seal)
Lineage: Eukaryota; Metazoa; Chordata; Mammalia; Carnivora; Phocidae
Source: RefSeq, a predicted model, not a curated record
GCCGCCGUUCCGCCGGUUUGAACUUGGCGGGCCCGAUGUGGGCGGACGGGCUGUGGGGGGCUGAUUCGCCACCUUCCGACGCUCGGUCCUCCGCCGGCUGCAGGUCCAGGUCUCGGCCCUCCUCUGACUCCUUCUCCGUCCUCAUGGCGGGCGCCCCGAGGCAGGGGCUGGAGCCGGUGACGGUGUGCUCGCCGCCGCCGCCGCUGAGCUGCAGCAAUUCCACCAUGUCGCUGUUGUCUCCCCUCGGCCACCAGAGCUUCCCGUUUGACUACGACGAUGGUGACGGGGAGGAUGAGGAAGACGUGGAUGAAGGUGCUCAUGAUUCACAGGCUAAGGUGGCGAGCCUGAGAGGAGUGGAGUUACAGGGGUGCACCAGUGUGGCUGAAUCAGAAGAUAACCAAGAAGAACAGAAACAGGUGCACCUACCAGAAAGCCGCCUGACACCAUGGGAAGUGUGGUUUGUUGGCAAAGAAAAAGUAGAACGUGACCGUUUGCAACAGAAAGCUCUGGAGGAAUUAAAUCAACAGCUAGAAAAAAGAAAAGAAAUGGAAGAACGUGAAAAAAGAAAGGUAAUUGCUGAAGAAAAGCACAAGGAAUGGGUUCAGAAAAAGAAUGAACAGAAAAGAAAGGAAAGGGAACAAAAAAUUAACAAGGAAAUGGAGGAAAAAGCAGCAAAGGAAUUGGAGAAAGAACAUUUGCAAGAAAAGGCAAAAGAAAAAUACCAAGAAUGGUUAAAGAAGAAAAAUGCUGAAGAAUGUGAAAAGAAGAAGAAAGAAAAGGAAAAAGAAAAACAACGGCAAGCUGAAUUACAGGAAAAAAAGGAAAUAGCAGAGAAAAGGUUUAAGGAAUGGUUGGAAAACGCAAAAAAUAAACCUCGUCCAGCUGCAAAGAGCUAUGGUUAUGCCAAUGGAAAACUUACAGGAACCAUCAAGAAAUGAAGAUUUGUUGUGGCAAUAUAAAGUUCAUGAUAAUCGAUUUAUAUAAUAACUGACUUCGGUUAAUGUACUGGUCUUGACUGAGGAUAUACCAACAGAAAGGGACCAAGAUUUCUUUGAUGUCAUCUUCUAACUCUUGGGUUGAUAUACAGACUUCCUGAUACAAUGCAACUGGAACUGCAACUUCACCUCUAUGGGUUCUUCCCUCAAACCCAUAACCUCAGUCUAAUCAUGAGAAAACAUCAGACAAACCUGAACGGAGAGACAUGGUACAAAAAACCUAACCACUACUCUUCAAGUCAAAGUUAUAAAAGAUGAGGAAAGGCUGAGAAGCCAUCACAGAUUGAACUUACAGAAAAAAACUAAAUGCAAUAAAGUACCCUGGAUUGGUCCCUGGAACAGAAACCUGAAUAAAUUCUACAGUGUAGUUAAUAGUAUUGUACCAAUGUUAAUUUCUAAGUUUUGAUAUAUGUACCAUGGUUAUACAAAUGUUUAUAAAUGGUUGUAUAAAUAUACCAUGGUUAUAGCUAAGGGAA